This 767-nucleotide ribosomal RNA is filed under the name uncultured bacterium. RNAcentral's name for it is "bacterial SSU rRNA". It matches the Rfam family "Bacterial small subunit ribosomal RNA", at positions 623 to 1389 of the family's 1533-position model. The record is from RNAcentral.
GCAGUGGGUACGGGCAAACUAGAGUGCGGUAGGGGAGAUUGGAAUUCCUGGUGUAGCGGUGGAAUGCGCAGAUAUCAGGAGGAACACCAAUGGCGAAGGCAGAUCUCUGGGCCGUAACUGACGCUGAGGAGCGAAAGCGUGGGGAGCGAACAGGAUUAGAUACCCUGGUAGUCCACGCCGUAAACGGUGGGAACUAGAUGUGGGGUCCGUUCCACGGAUUCCGUGUCGCAGCUAACGCAUUAAGUUCCCCGCCUGGGGAGUACGGCCGCAAGGCUAAAACUCAAAGGAAUUGACGGGGGCCCGCACAAGCGGCGGAGCAUGCGGAUUAAUUCGAUGCAACGCGAAGAACCUUACCAAGGCUUGACAUAUAGAGGAAAAGUGUAGAAAUACACUCCCCGCAAGGUCUCUAUACAGGUGGUGCAUGGUUGUCGUCAGCUCGUGUCGUGAGAUGUUGGGUUAAGUCCCGCAACGAGCGCAACCCUCGUCCUAUGUUGCCAGCACGUAAUGGUGGGAACUCAUGGGAUACUGCCGGGGUCAACUCGGAGGAAGGUGGGGAUGACGUCAAAUCAUCAUGCCCCUUAUGUCUUGGGCUUCACGCAUGCUACAAUGGCCGGUACAGAGGGCAGCAAUACCGCAAGGUGGAGCGAAUCCCAAAAAGCCGGUCUCAGUUCGGAUUGAGGUCUGCAACUCGACCUCAUGAAGUUGGAGUCGCUAGUAAUCGUGGAUCAGCAACGCCACGGUGAAUACGUUCCCGGGCCUUGUACACA